UACGUAGGGACCGAGCGUUGUCCGGAAUCAUUGGGCGUAAAGCGCGCGUAGGCGGCCCGGUAAGUCCGCUGUAAAAGUCCAGGGCUCAACCCUGGAAAGCCGGUGGAUACUGUCGGGCUAGAGUCCGGAAGAGGCGAGUGGAAUUCCUGGUGUAGCGGUGAAAUGCGCAGAUAUCGGGAGGAACACCAAUGGCGAAGGCAGCUCGCUGGGACGUUACUGACGCUGAGACGCGAAAGCGUGGGGAGCAAACAGG
RNAcentral lists this ribosomal RNA (253 nucleotides) under uncultured bacterium. Its description in RNAcentral is "partial 16S ribosomal RNA". It matches the Rfam family "Bacterial small subunit ribosomal RNA", at positions 524 to 776 of the family's 1533-position model. The record is from RNAcentral.